UUGGAAUGAUAGGGAAUGUAAAACCCUUCCAGAGUAACAAUUGGAGGGCAAGUCUGGUGCCAGCAGCCGCGGUAAUUCCAGCUCCAAUAGUGUAUAUUAGAGUUGUUGCAGUUAAAAAGCUCGUAGUUGGAUUUCUGUCGUGGUCAGCCUGCGCUGCCUGUAUGGGUGUGCGCGUGGUUUGCCCGCGGCUUUUUUCCGGUUGCCUCCAGCGCUUAACUGCGUUGGUAGGUUUUCUGGAACUUUUACUUUGAGAAAAAUAGAGUGUUUCAAGCAGGCUUGUCGCCCUGAAUACUGCAGCAUGGAAUAAUAAGAUAGGACCUCGGUUCUAUUUUGUUGGUUUCUAGGA
Molecule: ribosomal RNA, 346 nt
Filed under: Eimeria sp.
Lineage: Eukaryota; Apicomplexa; Conoidasida; Eucoccidiorida; Eimeriidae
Description: SSU rRNA
Rfam family: Eukaryotic small subunit ribosomal RNA
Source: RNAcentral